AUGACAAGUGAAGAAAUCCUGCGAUUCAAGACCGCGUUUGCAUUUUCUGUUGUUACCAAAUUCUUCGCUCCACAAUCCCUGAAAAACUUCAUAUCAACACGAUAUAUGAAAGCAGUGUUUGAUAUGGAGAACAUUCAUGCCUACAAUUGGGCACAAUUUGUCGCCGACGAGCUUAGACUAGCAGCAGCAUCUCUGCAGUUGAAGCUUUCCCGUGGAAAGAACAUUGGAUACAUCAAUGGAUGCAUGUUAAUCCCUCAGAUUCACUACCUAGACAGCUUGGACUUUGGCAAGGAUUCUCCUCCCGACCACAUUCUUCCCCGGUUUGCUGCAUACAACGACGCCAUGGUCUGUAACCUGAUCAAACGGGAUAUAAUUCUGAAAAAUCGACUUCCUUUUCCGACAUAUGGUAAACUAAAGGCACAAGAAGAUUUAUUCACAUAUACAAACUCAAUUUGUGCUGCCGACCAACUGAGAAAAAUUUGGCUACACAUAUCUGAUCCAGUCCCAAGGUUUCUAAAAUUGCAACAGAUACAAGAAGCCCUCGCAUUUGACGCUGAAAUGCAAGAUGAUGCAUUCAAUGUUGCUGUCCAAGCACUAUUCGAGGAUGAGGUGCACAGGUUCGGGGGAACAGAUUUCCUAGGCUGGAGGCACUUCUUGAAUCAAGAUUUCGCGAUAUAUAUCCCUCUCCACCAACCGUUUCAUUUCUCAGUCUACACAUUUGAUAUGGAGAACGAUAAGAUUCAGAUCAUGGACCCCUUAAGAGAUACAAGCAAAGGAGGGCAGGACAUUGAAGCUAGGCACUCUAAGACUAAAGAUCAUAUUGCGAAAGCAUUGCAGGAUUGCAUGGUCAUCUCUUUUCCAGACUGGAAACGCAAUAUUUCUAGCUGGCAGCAUGAGUUCCCAACAAAUAUUCCAGCAACUGCUAACAGGAUUGAUACUGCUUUCCACGUUCUGCAUAUCAUGAGAAAUUGGGAUGCAAAAUGCUUAGUCAAUCCAGUCUCUAGUGACUCUCGAGAUUUGCGGAAGGCCUUCCUUGCCAACCUCCUGUCAUUCACAAGUAAUGAGGCCAUACUCCCAGAAAGUGUCAACUACUACAUCAAAGCACUCAGGAGGAACUGA
RNAcentral lists this ribosomal RNA (1119 nucleotides) under Triticum aestivum (bread wheat). RNAcentral describes it as "partial small subunit ribosomal RNA". Lineage: Eukaryota; Viridiplantae; Streptophyta; Magnoliopsida; Poales; Poaceae. The record is from RNAcentral.